Molecule: long non-coding RNA, 381 nt
Organism: Oncorhynchus keta (chum salmon)
Lineage: Eukaryota; Metazoa; Chordata; Actinopteri; Salmoniformes; Salmonidae
Exons: 3
Source: RefSeq, a predicted model, not a curated record
UUAGGUUUAGGGGUCAAGGUAAGGGUUAGCGGUUAGGUUUAGGGGUCAAGGUAAGGGUUAGCGGUUAGGUUUAGGGGUCAAGGUAAGGGUUAGCGGUUAGGUUUAGGGGUCAAGGUAAGGGUUAGCGGUUAGGUUUAGGGGUCAAGGUAAGGGUUAGUGGUUAGGUUUAGGGGUCAAGGUAAGGGUUAGCGGUUAGGUUUAGGGGUCAAGGUAAGGGUUAGCGGUUAGGUUUAGGGGUCAAGGUAAGGGUUAGUGGUUAGGUUUAGGGGUCAAGGUAAGGGUUAGUGGUUAGGUUUAGGGGUCAAGGUAAGGGUUAGUGGUUAGGUUUAGGGGUCAAGGUAAGGGUUAGCGGUUAGGUUUAGGGGUCAAGGUAAGGGUUAG